This 506-nucleotide ribosomal RNA is filed under the name uncultured Enterobacteriaceae bacterium. Its description in RNAcentral is "bacterial SSU rRNA". It matches the Rfam family "Bacterial small subunit ribosomal RNA", at positions 30 to 523 of the family's 1533-position model. Lineage: Bacteria; Pseudomonadati; Pseudomonadota; Gammaproteobacteria; Enterobacterales; Enterobacteriaceae. The record is from RNAcentral.
AUUGAACGCUGGCGGCAGGCCUAACACAUGCAAGUCGAACGGUAACAGGAAGCAGCUUGCUGCUUUGCUGACGAGUGGCGGACGGGUGAGUAAUGUCUGGGAAACUGCCUGAUGGAGGGGGAUAACUACUGGAAACGGUAGCUAAUACCGCAUAACGUCGCAAGACCAAAGAGGGGGACCUUCGGGCCUCUUGCCAUCGGAUGUGCCCAGAUGGGAUUAGCUAGUAGGUGGGGUAACGGCUCACCUAGGCGACGAUCCCUAGCUGGUCUGAGAGGAUGACCAGCCACACUGGAACUGAGACACGGUCCAGACUCCUACGGGAGGCAGCAGUGGGGAAUAUUGCACAAUGGGCGCAAGCCUGAUGCAGCCAUGCUUCUUUUAUGAAGAAGGCCUUCGGGUUGUAAAGUACUUUCAGCUGGGAUGAAUGCGACAGGGUUACUACCCCUGACGACUGACGCGUCUCUCAGAAACAAAACCGGAUAACUCCCCGCCAGACCCCGCUGUUU